GCCGCUUGUCGCGUUCCAAUAAUUUCCAAAUCCUUGCUACUACAGAUGGUUAUCAACAUGGACAUGGUUAAAAAUGUCUGCAUAUACAAUGGGAUAUUUUCCUGUACAAACUUCUUAGAUGAUAACCAAUAUAGAAAAUGCACAUUCAAUAACUUGAAUAAUAGUUAGUUGACAAUUGCUUUCUAAAUAUUUCCAGGGUAACUGCUGCCUCUAUCUCAGCUUUUUGAUAAGCUAUAACAUUCUUUCAGAAACCAGAAUCCAGUUAAACUGUGGCUGCUGAGAGAAUCACCCUAGAAGUUUUACUUUUCAGUCUUUCUUCUGACGUCUGACAAUGAAGCCAUCUUCAUAGACCUUGAAACACAAGACCAACUUAACAAUUGGCAGAUGCUGCUGCUGCUGCUCGCUAGCUGAUGCCAAUGUUUUAUUGUGAAAUUACUUCCAUUUUGCACACAAACAAACUAAGGAACAUUGUUUAUAUGCUGCUGAGCCUGCUCACUUGAAAGCUCAGCUUCUGCAGCAAAAGACACGUUUGGAGACUCCUCUUGAUGGCGGCGAUGUUGGAGUGCGGUUACUGCUUUCACGAUAACAUAUACUGGAAGAACAAUCCCAGCAAUUCGUAGAAAUAACAACAUGAGCAAUGGGAAGGAAAUUUCAUUGGUCCUAGUAAGGAUGACUGGGAGAGUAUGCCGCAGAAUCAAAAGAAUCAUAAA
RNAcentral lists this unclassified non-coding RNA (710 nucleotides) under Hevea brasiliensis (rubber tree). The record is from RNAcentral. Lineage: Eukaryota; Viridiplantae; Streptophyta; Magnoliopsida; Malpighiales; Euphorbiaceae.